CAUGCAAGUCGAACGAAGGCUUCGGCCUUAGUGGCGCACGGGUGCGUAACGCGUGGGAAUCUGCCCUUGGGUUCGGAAUAACUCAGAGAAAUUUGAGCUAAUACCGGAUGAUGUCGAAAGACCAAAGAUUUAUCGCCCGAGGAUGAGCCCGCGUAGGAUUAGCUAGUUGGUGAGGUAAAGGCUCACCAAGGCGACGAUCCUUAGCUGGUCUGAGAGGAUGAUCAGCCACACUGGGACUGAGACACGGCCCAGACUCCUACGGGAGGCAGCAGUGGGGAAUAUUGGACAAUGGGCGAAAGCCUGAUCCAGCAAUGCCACGUGAGUGAUGAAGGCCUUAGGGUUGUAAAGCUCUUUUACCCGGGAUGAUAAUGACAGUACCGGGAGAAUAAGCUCCGGCUAACUCCGUGCCAGCAGCCGCGGUAAUACGGAGGGAGCUAGUGUUAUUCGGAAUUACUGGGCGUAAAGCGCACGUAGGCGGCUUUGUAAGUCAGAGGUGAAAUCCUGGAGCUCAACUCCAGAACUGCCUUUGAUACUGGCAAUCUCGAGUCCGAGAGAGGUGAGUGGAACUCCUAGUGUAGAGGUGGAAUUCGUAGAUAUUAGGAAGAACACCAGUGGCGAAGGCGGCUCACUGGCUCGGUACUGACGCUGA
RNAcentral lists this ribosomal RNA (649 nucleotides) under uncultured bacterium. RNAcentral describes it as "bacterial SSU rRNA". It matches the Rfam family "Bacterial small subunit ribosomal RNA", at positions 54 to 749 of the family's 1533-position model. The record is from RNAcentral.